This 253-nucleotide ribosomal RNA is filed under the name uncultured bacterium. RNAcentral's name for it is "partial 16S ribosomal RNA". It matches the Rfam family "Bacterial small subunit ribosomal RNA", at positions 524 to 776 of the family's 1533-position model. The record is from RNAcentral.
UACGAAGAGGGCUAGCGUUGCUCGGAAUCACUGGGCGUAAAGGGCGCGUAGGCGGCUUUGCAAGUCGGGUGUGAAAGCCCUCAGCUCAACUGAGGAAGUGCGCCCGAAACUGCAGAGCUUGAGUGCCGGAGAGGGUGGCGGAAUUCCCCAAGUAGAGGUGAAAUUCGUAGAUAUGGGGAGGAACACCGGUGGCGAAGGCGACUACCUGGCCUGUUCUUGACGCUGAGGCGCGAAAGCUAGGGGAGCAAACGGG